UACAGAGGGUGCAAGCGUUGUUCGGAAUCACUGGGCGUAAAGCGCGCGCAGGCGGGAAAGCAAGUCUGUAAGUGAAAUCCAGCCGCUCAACGGCUGGGCUGCUUCGGAUACUACUUUUCUAGGGACCGGUAGAGGCUGGUAGAAUUGCAGGUGUAGCGGUGGAAUGCGUAGAGAUCUGCAAGAAUACCCGUGGCGAAGGCGGCCAGCUGGGCCGGGUCCGACGCUGAGGCGCGAAAGCUAGGGGAGCAAACGGG
This 254-nucleotide ribosomal RNA is filed under the name uncultured bacterium. RNAcentral's name for it is "partial 16S ribosomal RNA". It matches the Rfam family "Bacterial small subunit ribosomal RNA", at positions 524 to 776 of the family's 1533-position model. The record is from RNAcentral.